RNAcentral lists this ribosomal RNA (429 nucleotides) under Pseudomonadota bacterium. Its description in RNAcentral is "Proteobacteria bacterium partial 16S ribosomal RNA". It matches the Rfam family "Bacterial small subunit ribosomal RNA", at positions 355 to 776 of the family's 1533-position model. Lineage: Bacteria; Pseudomonadati; Pseudomonadota. The record is from RNAcentral.
UGGGGAAUAUUGGACAAUGGGCGAAAGCCUGAUCCAGCCAUGCCGCGUGUGUGAAGAAGGUCUUCGGAUUGUAAAGCACUUUAAGUUGGGAGGAAGGGCAGUAAGCGAAUACCUUGCUGUUUUGACGUUACCGACAGAAUAAGCACCGGCUAACUCUGUGCCAGCAGCCGCGGUAAUACAGAGGGUGCAAGCGUUAAUCGGAAUUACUGGGCGUAAAGCGCGCGUAGGUGGUUCGUUAAGUUGAAUGUGAAAGCCCCGGGCUCAAACUGGGAACUGCAUCCAAAACUGGCGAGCUAGAGGAGGGCAGAGGGUGGUGGAAUUUCCUGUGUAGCGGUGAAAUGCGUAGAUAUAGGAAGGAACACCAGUGGCGAAGGCGACCACCUGGGCUCAUACUGACACUGAGGUGCGAAAGCGUGGGGAGCAAACAGG